UCAGUAACMCGKGGGAUAACCUWCCCCUUAGGACCSGGGAUAACCCUGGGGAAAYUGGGGSYUAAUWMCUGGAAUAAGAUGAUUUUUUCCUGGGAAAUGGUUUUUUUGKUUWAAAAUGUUUUUUUCGCCUAAGGAAUGGGGUCUGCGGGCAGAUUAGGGUAGUUKGGUUAGGUAAUGGCYUUACCAAGCCUAUGAUCUGUACGGGUUGKKGGGAGCAAGAGCCCGGAGAUGGAACCUGAGACAAGGUUCCAGGCCYUACGGGGCGCAGCAGGCGCGAAACCUCCGCAAKGUGAGAAAUCGCGACGGGGGAAUCMCAAGUGCCAUUCUUAACGGGAUGGCUUUUSUUAAGURUAAAAAGCUUUUGGAAUAAGAGCUGGGCAAGACCGGUGCCAGCCGCCGCGGUAACACCGGCAGCUCUAGUGGUARMUGUUUUUAUUGGGCCUAAAGCGUUCGUAGCCGGUUUGAUAAGUCACUGGUGAAAUCCUGUAGCUUAACUGUGGGAAUUGCUGGUGAUACUGUUGAACUUGAGGUCGGGAGAGGUWAGCGGUACUCCCAGGGUAGAGGUGAAAUUCUGUAAUCYUGGAAGRACCACCUGUGGCGAAGGCGGCUAACUGGAACGAACCUGACGGUGAGGGACGAAAGCUAGGGGCYCCACCCGUUUGAUACCCGGGUAGUCCUACCGAACGGGGGGGCCUCCUCGAUGGCUUGAGCCGCUCCGGUACCCAAAGGAARMUGUUAAGGCSGGCCYKCCUGGGAAG
RNAcentral lists this ribosomal RNA (758 nucleotides) under uncultured Methanobacteria archaeon. RNAcentral's name for it is "partial 16S ribosomal RNA". It matches the Rfam family "Archaeal small subunit ribosomal RNA", at positions 90 to 835 of the family's 1478-position model. Lineage: Archaea; Methanobacteriati; Methanobacteriota; Methanobacteria. The record is from RNAcentral.